Molecule: non-coding RNA, 704 nt
Organism: Punica granatum (pomegranate)
Lineage: Eukaryota; Viridiplantae; Streptophyta; Magnoliopsida; Myrtales; Lythraceae
Source: RefSeq, a predicted model, not a curated record
CUCUCUUGUUCUUACUUUUCCUCUUUUUGAUGAGUGUAUACUUCCAACCAAUAUUAUGCUAUGUUCUGCUAUUCUGCAGGUGGGGUUUGUCACGCCAUUUCUAUCAUGUAUCGGACAUAUUAGGAGCCUUCUUCUAGAGCGUCCCAACCCUUUUCUACCAUUAAGCAUUUGUAGUUUAAACUGCUCUCCCACAGUACUUUCAUGAAUUCUCCGUGUUAACUAUCUCAAUUCUUUUAAGGUUUUCUGUCCUCUGCAGUUUCUGCCUAGCAGUUCUACUCAUAUUACUGAACAUCCUAAUGUUUGACCGAUCCAAAACAGAUGACAUUCGGAGCCGAUCCAAGUACUAGAGAUACUGGAAACUCUAUUGGUGAGAAGAUGCCUGAUGGAUCUCCUGACGUUCACAGAAGAAAUCUUCUCACAGAUCUUCAGAUUUAGGGCUCGGUUGCGCUUACUCAGCUUCUAGCUUUUGCUCAAUCACCUUGGAAAGGGCUUGUCCAUCAAUUCCCCGGUUCCUUUCUAGGCCAAACUUCUACUACUAUAGCAUUCUGCGAGAUGCUCUGGCUUAUGUUGUGUCAGUGGACUAUCGCACUCAUCGGAUUGCCGAUCCAUAAGAUGUACAAAGCCUUUGAUAAAGAGAUUGAAGUGGCAAGCCUGUGUCGACAAGGUUAUAUGUUUAUAUCCAAUAAUUGAUGUGUGACCUUCUA